UUCCUACGGGUGGCAGCAGUCGAGAAUAAUUCACAAUGGACGAAAGUCUGAUGGUGCAACGCCGCGUGGAGGAUGAAGGUCUUCGGAUUGUAAACUCCUGUCAUCGGGGAGUAAGACCUGGGCGUGAAUAGCGCACAGGGUUGAUAGUACCCGAAGAGGAAGGGACGGCUAACUUCGUGCCAGCAGCCGCGGUAAUACGAAGGUCCCAAGCGUUGUUCGGAAUCACUGGGCGUAAAGGGAGCGUAGGCGGGGUAGUAAGUCAGACGUGAAAUCCCGGGGCUCAACCCCGGAACUGCAUCCGAUACUGCCAUGCUUGAGGGUUGGAGAGGUAGCUGGAAUUCUCGGUGUAGCAGUGAAAUGCGUGGAUAUCGAGAGGAACACUCGUGGCGAAGGCGAGCUACUGGACAACAUCUGACGCUGAGGCUCGAAGGCUAGGGGAGCAAAAGGGAUUAGAUACCCGUGUAGUCG
Molecule: ribosomal RNA, 468 nt
Filed under: uncultured Verrucomicrobiaceae bacterium
Lineage: Bacteria; Pseudomonadati; Verrucomicrobiota; Verrucomicrobiia; Verrucomicrobiales; Verrucomicrobiaceae
Description: bacterial SSU rRNA
Rfam family: Bacterial small subunit ribosomal RNA
Source: RNAcentral